Cydia fagiglandana is the source of this 5588-nucleotide long non-coding RNA. RefSeq lists it as uncharacterized. Lineage: Eukaryota; Metazoa; Arthropoda; Insecta; Lepidoptera; Tortricidae. The record is from RefSeq and is a predicted model, not a curated record. The transcript is spliced from 2 exons.
CACAAUAGUUGAUAUCCUGUAUGUUACUUUAUACUGAUAAUAAUCACAUGUAGUAUGCACCUGACUUUAUACUUUUUGGUUAUUGUAUCUAUGGUCAUGUUUGUAGAGAGAGAACUGUCAGAUUUUGGCGGCGCUUCAUUUGCCCGAGGUUAUGUUGGAUUUGUUCUUUUGUAAUCUUAUAAUUAAUCCUGUAUGUCGCUGUAAUAAAAGAAAUAGUACUGGAAGCAGUGGUUUGUGUGCUAAACCCCUUUUACUGAGCAUUAAAUCUAUGGAUGAUUUCAACUCAGAAAGCGGGAUUGUGAAUUCAAAUGCCCACAUAGAAAUUGGUUAAUUGUUUUCACCUGUAUAGAGGUGCUAUAUUGAACCAUCGCACUGGGAGAUUUCGGCACAAGAUCGGCAGAAGUAGAGGUUUACAGUGAAUAAAAAGUGCAAGCCUUUGAAGAGCAGAGGCGAGUCGAACUCGACGCAAGAUGAGUUAAAGGCCCGACCACCUGCGGUCAUAAACUACAAUUUUGUCGGAAGUGUGCAGACCUGCGGUGAAUGUGGAUGUUCAUUCACUGCAAAAAUAGGCUACGUCAGCCACCUGAGAGGUCACGAUCAUCGUUCUCACUAGCCAGUGAAUACUCAGUCGCCGAGGCCGAAACCGGCUAGGACAGGAUGAUCAGAGGUGCGUAGCAAUGUAUGUUGCUUGGUUUUUAAAAAAAAAAGUUUGAGUUUGUUUGAUUGACAAUUGGUUUCAUUUGCUUACCAUAAAAGGUGUUUUAAAUUUGCAAUGUAAGUACUUGACGUUUGCUAUGUAUUGAUCUAGUUACUAACCCCUGUUUUUUUUUGUCAUUGUUUGUUUUUGGUCUGAGAGAUGACACGUUGGAAUACAAUGAGAAUAGAUCUCGACGAAAACGCAAGCAAGCAACCAUCAGCUUCAUCACACUUGGUGAGACACAGAGCCAACAUGGUUACGAACGAAGUCAAAAGGGUAAGGAUGACAUUGUGCAGUAUUCAGGUACAAUAUAGGUGCUUAGUGAAGUUAGUUAUUAACACUGAGUUGUAUAAUGACAUUAGGUGAAUAUAUACUAGGUAUUAUUACUAUUUUGGAUAGUCUAAUGACACUAAAAGGUAUUUUAUUUCUAAUGAUGUAUGAGUAUAUAAUGCCUAUAUAUGGCAAGAGAUAACAAUAAAAUGUUAUGGAUUGGUAUUACAGAGGUUAUUGCCAUGAUGAAUUGAUAGGAUAGUGAAGAUGAGAGGAAGAAACUGAUAGCGGGCUAGAAUUGUAGAUUGGCCCAUGACGGUUAUCAGUGGAAAGAGUUAAAAGAGGCUUUUACCAAGCACCACACUUAUUGAGAUAUAGCUCUAUUUCUAUAUUCCGGUCUCUAAUUCAGAAUAGGUGGUAAUUUAUAAUAGGUGGAUGUGCAUAUAAAUUACUUUAGAUAAAAGACUGAAGUUAGUUUUUGAUUUGACAACAAAGAAAUUAUUUAUAAACUUUUGUAUAUGAAAAAAAAAUGUUAAUUGAAGAUAUUGAAUGGUAUAUUCUACAUAGGUAGGUACAUGCAUUUAGUUUCAUAUCAUUGUUAUAUUGUAAAUUAUCAAUCUGGAUACUUAGAGAGAAGCACAUACAAACAAUAAUGAAUGAAUGAAAUCACACACAGUAUAAAUUCGAAAUUUGAAAUGACACAGGUAGUUUCACAUCUAUUUCAUAACAUUUAUUUAAAAGUCAUGCAUCUCAACAAUCCAAUUCAUUAGAUUAUGUAAUUCAUUCUGAAGCCUGAAAUUUGUAUAUGAGCAAGGUUUAUAUAAUUUAAAAAUGAAAAACAGAUGUGCAGAAUUUUUGGAAAUUGUCCAGGUAACUUACCUCACGCUUCACAUACAAAUCAAGGAAGUUUACAUUAAUGAUAUUAAUAUUUCAAAAUGUAAAAGAGACUUGUACUAUUAAUGGUGUCACAAUUAUUUUACAUCAAUUUACCAAAGAAUUAAGUUUGAAAAUAUAAGUAACAAUUACAAAGCAUCAUUAUUAUCAUUCAGGGAACAUGAUGCAUGGUCGCAUUGUGGAUACUGACAUUGCAUAUUAAAAUGAAAGGGUUAAGAUCUCCUUGUAGGUAUUUAAAAGAAAGUGAAUAAGUUCACUAUAUUUGGAAUUCUUGAAUAUCUACUUCAUACCUUCGAAUUGUUGACAAGUGGUAUUUAUAUUUAAACCUUAUUGCACAAAAUAGGUAUACACCAGUGUUCAAAUUUGUUUUUCUAAAUUUAUAAAUUUAAUGCAGGUCUUGUCUAAUGACUCUAGUGAAAGCGAUUGUUGCACGGGAUUGGCUAAACAAGAACAGAUUACUUUUCGGUGUUGACACAAUAUUUAUUGUCUAAUAAUAUUGCAUAGUAUUCAGUUAUAUUUUAAAAAUUUGACUAGGUAUGCGAAGUUGAAAUAGUACAGUUAUACAUUUGUAAUACCAUGGAUUGCGAUGAAAAAUGAUUAUGAUUACAAUCCAGUAAUAAACCACAAAUGAAACUAUGAAUUAUUGUUGCUAUGAAAUACAAUUUAUUUGUGGCUUUAUGGUUUCAUUUGCAUAAAAACUUAACAGCUGGUGAUGCCUAAGUUAAUCAAAUGGACGGAUCCUAGAGGUCAUAAAUUGUGGAAUUUGGGUUGCUAAGAGGUGGGUAAUGGUCAGGAAUAGUGUUGGUCGAAUGCAAAAGCAGAUUACUUGUGUAUACAUUAUCAAUUAUAAGAGGGUCCAUUUAUAAAAUUAAAAUGUUGGCAAGAGCAGUGCCUGUUUGAAAAGACAAGACUUAAAGAAUUCUCAUUUAAAAUUGACUUAAAGAGUAAGGUCGAUGAGUGGGUACAAAUAAUGUCACAAGUUUUAGUGCAGGGUUUUAGUAUGGUUUUGUGCAAAAGUCUGUGACUGACUUAAACAAAAGACUCAACACCAGAGUAAGUUGAAUGAACGAAUCUAAAAGUAUAUAACAUUCAAAUUUAAAGAAGCCUUAUAAAGUAGGCUGUGUAGAAGUAACUUGGAGUUAAUUUCUAUUUUACAUUUCUUUUCAAUUCAUUAAACUUUGAAAGUAUCCUUAAAAUUUGGUUUAUUGUUAGGUUUAACACAUGGUACAUUUAUGAGUUUAUGACGAAGACACAGUGAUGACAAGAGAAAUAGGUUGGUGAUAUUAACCAUGUGAACCAUGAUUCAUAAACACAACAUUUAUGGUUGCAGUUUUACAGCCAUAGCCGAUUGGCUCUAACUAUUAAAAAAAAAGGUGUAUAAAUAUAUUGGAAUUUAAUUACUUCCAAUAGUUUCAAUAAUAUAGUAGGUGGGGUAAUGACGCUAGUAUUUGCUAUGGUGUACUCGGUGUAGUAUACGCUUGUACCUAUUUGGAUCCUUUUCUUUCCGGGUGCAUGUGACCCCGAGGUUUAGUGUUGCGUUUUUUACCAUCUCUGUGGCUGAAUAUUACUAUGGUGAAAUGUUGCACGAAGUUUAGGACGAAACAUCAGGACCAUCAGGUUAUUGAAUAAAUAUCUGUUUAUAUAAAUUCAACAAAAUAAAACAUGAUUUAAAUGUAAUCUUCUCAUAGUUGAUAAAUUGAUGAAUAUUUAUUAUUUUAUUUUAUUAAUGUUGAGGAUUUUUGAUGAAGAUAAUGAUUGAUAUCCAUGACGACAUUGACGUCUAAUUACAAUUUUAGUAACGAAUACUCAUCGUUUCAUCGUGUCUAAUACAAAUACUUUAUUUAUAACGCUAAGGAAGAUCUUAGGUAACAGAGGUCCGAUAAUGAUGAUGAUGUAGGCAUAUGACUGAACAUGUCUACUAGUUAAGUAAGUGUCGAUGUCGGCGACAAUGUUUGCUCCAUGACUAUGACAGGGUCAAUAACUGGCCAUAUCGAUGAUAAAAACGGAGCUGGAUGAUUUCGAUGACAGUGUCGGCGAUAAAGCUUGACUGACCACUUUGAUGACGAUAUAUAGAUGACGUUUAUAGUAAGAUUAAUUGAUGAUGGUAAUGAUUGACUGAUUCCAUGUGUAUAAUCAAUGAUUAAAUUGUUGACGAGGACUGAGACUAAAAUGAUCGUUGCUACUGCAAAUAAUUAUAACAUUUGUUUUUAUUUUUUUUAUGUUACAACGCUGGUAACCUGGCUGAAUGGAUGAAGUUGAUAAUGAGCGAGGGCUUCGCAGCAAGAGCUGACUGAAGUAAACGAGGUUAAACUGUUAAGACGGUGCUGCCGAUGGACAGGGCCACAGAGCGAGGAACCGACAUACAUACGUGCCGUGUCCAAGAUUACUGCCUUCUGCAUCUGAUCCUUGAUCCAGCGACCAGCGAGAGUAUCUACAGGUGUUGUUUUGGACUCUUAGCUGACAAGAUUGCUAUUAUAUUAAUAUUAUGAAUCUAGAAUAUAACCGUUGAGUUUUGGCAGACUGUCUAGUGCAGGCCGUAAUGGCAGACUGUCUAGAGCAGGCCAUGACUGUUUAUUAUGUUAGUUUAUGCUUUGGCAAAGUUAAUAAAGCAGGCCUUAAGGGCAGACUGUGAAUGUUUAUGAUGAAUUAUACUUUGUCAAACUAUAGAGUAAGCCUAAAUGGCAGACUGUGAUUGUUUAUGAUAAAUUAUACUUUGCCAAACUAUUUAGAGCAGGCCUAAAUGGCAGACUGAUUGUUUUGAUGAAUUAUGUUUUGCAAAUCAUUUAAAGCAGGUCUUAAUACUGUGAUUGUUUAUGAUGAAUUAUGUUUUGCCAAACUAUUUAGAGCAGGCCUAAAUGGCAGACUGAUUGUUUUGAUGAAUUAUGUUUUGCAAAUCAUUUAAAGCAGGUCUUAAUACUGUGAUUGUUUAUGAUGAAUUAUGUUUUGCCAAACUAUUUAGAGCAGGCCUAAAUGGUCUUAAUACUGUGAUUGUUUAUGAUGAAUUAUGUUUUGCUAAACUAUUUAGAGCAGGCCUUAUAAGGGUAGACUGUCAUUGUUUAUGACGUUUUAUACUUUGCCAUACUGUUUAGAACAGGCCUUGAGGGCAGAUUGUGAAUGUUAAUGUUGGCUUAUACUUUGGCAGAUGUCUAGACCAGACCAAGACUGUAAGUUAGUUCAUAUGUAUUGAAAAUUUAUUGAAAGAAGGCUAUUAAUGCUACCAGGUGCUGGUUGUAUUAAAUUACUGUUUAGUGUUUAUAUGAUCUCAGGUUAUAGCAUGUGAAGUGUGAAGACUGAUUUCUCAAUAAGGUUAAUAUAUGCAACUAGUCAUUGGUUGUGUGAUUGACUAAUAAAAGUCUAUAGUCAGAAGUUUACAAAAACUGUUCUUAUGAAUGUUUGUUUGAUAUCGAUAAAAUUGUUAUGAUAUAUUGCUGUUGUUAUUAAUGUACAAUUGUUUUUAGUGAGAGGACUCACUAUAAAUAAAAGGACGGCCGAGUUGUAAGCAUCACAAUAGUUGAUAUCCUGUAUGUUACUUUAUACUGAUAAUAAUCACAUGUAGUAUGCACCUGACUUUAUACUUUUUGGUUAUUGUAUCUAUGGUCAUGUUUGUAGAGAGAGAACUGUCAGAUUUUGGCGGCGCUUCAUUUGCCCGAGGUUAUGUUGGAUUUGUUCUUUUGUAAUCUUAUAAUUAAUCCUGUAUGUCGCUGUAAUAAAAGAAAUAGUACUGGAA